Molecule: long non-coding RNA, 258 nt
Organism: Penaeus monodon (black tiger shrimp)
Lineage: Eukaryota; Metazoa; Arthropoda; Malacostraca; Decapoda; Penaeidae
Exons: 3
Source: RefSeq, a predicted model, not a curated record
UGGGCCUCAUGGCGAUCAGCUGAGCGCGAACAGCGAGCAAACACGACUGUUCAAACCACCUGUUAAAUGUUCCUCUGUUUACCUGCGUGGAUUGAUUAGGCUUUGGGCAGGUGGUGGUGGGGAUGAGGCAGCCCAUGGCUUUGGAAGACAUCCGGCAUGCCUGCUUCCUGCUGGACUCUGACAAAAUCACAGACAGAAAGAAAGGGUGUGAGCAGCUGCGGAAUCUCCUGAACAACUCACAGAUUGUGGCCUUACUCA